RNAcentral lists this ribosomal RNA (422 nucleotides) under uncultured Porphyromonadaceae bacterium. Its description in RNAcentral is "partial 16S ribosomal RNA". It matches the Rfam family "Bacterial small subunit ribosomal RNA", at positions 355 to 774 of the family's 1533-position model. The record is from RNAcentral. Lineage: Bacteria; Pseudomonadati; Bacteroidota; Bacteroidia; Bacteroidales; Porphyromonadaceae.
UGAGGAAUAUUGGUCAAUGGACGAGAGUCUGAACCAGCCAAGUCGCGUGAAGGAAGAAGGUUCUAUGGAUUGUAAACUUCUUUUGUUGGGGGAUAAAACGGGGCAUGUAUGCCCCCUUGCAGGUACCCAACGAAUAAGCAUCGGCUAACUCCGUGCCAGCAGCCGCGGUAAUACGGAGGAUGCGAGCGUUAUCCGGAUUUAUUGGGUUUAAAGGGUGCGUAGGCGGAUUCAUAAGUCAGUGGUGAAAGUUUGAGGCUCAACCUUAAAAUUGCCAUUGAAACUGUGGAUCUUGAGUGUAAAUGAGGUAGGCGGAAUGCGUGGUGUAGCGGUGAAAUGCAUAGACAUCACGCAGAACUCCAAUUGCGAAGGCAGCUUGCUGGAAUACAACUGACGCUGAGGCACGAAAGCGUGGGGAUCAAACA